RNAcentral lists this long non-coding RNA (231 nucleotides) under Citrus sinensis (sweet orange). RNAcentral's name for it is "long non-coding RNA (CSIN_LNC005846)". Lineage: Eukaryota; Viridiplantae; Streptophyta; Magnoliopsida; Sapindales; Rutaceae. The record is from RNAcentral.
UACCUUUCCAGCUUCUCGAAGAACAGCCCCUUCGGCAGAGUGUUGACAUCUGGGAUGCAUAAUUCUAAGGUGGUCAAGUUAGGCAAACGCUUCAACUCUUCAAGGCUUGCAUUCUUGACCCCUGCAGCUUCCACCUCCACCUCCCACUUAUUAAAGCUACGAAUGUAUAAUUCCUCCAAAUGGGAUAAAUUUGAUAAAACAUUUGGGGGAAUAACCUGUAGUCUGUCACAG